GGGGCUGCACUGGUUUCGACGUGGGUUCGGACGCGUGGCAGGGCAUGUCGAGCUGAAUGUGCUCGUAAAACUGAUUCAAACAAAGUAACUGCAAACGACGAACGUUUCGCACUCGCCGCUUAAUUGCCGGUGAGCUUCGCAACAGCAGGCCUAUGGGCUGGGCAAGGGUCUCUCCGGAGGUCCAGGCUGCGAAGAUAAUUUCAUAGGCUGGUCUUGCGCCGGGUCACUUGGCGUGGGACGAGAAAAUAGGUGACUGGCGUUCUGGAUUGCGUGCCGCUGCGCGGUCCAGGAGGCGAGACCUAACCAGACGGCUACACAUGUAGAACUGUACGAAGAAGGCUUGCGGACGCGGGUUCAAUUCCCGCCAGCUCCACCA
RNAcentral lists this small RNA (376 nucleotides) under Ramlibacter sp. RNAcentral's name for it is "transfer-messenger RNA". It matches the Rfam family "transfer-messenger RNA". From Rfam's summary of the family: Bacterial tmRNA, also known as 10Sa RNA or SsrA, is named for its dual tRNA and mRNA-like properties. Its role is to liberate the mRNA from a stalled ribosome. The record is from RNAcentral. Lineage: Bacteria; Pseudomonadati; Pseudomonadota; Betaproteobacteria; Burkholderiales; Comamonadaceae.